Molecule: non-coding RNA, 31 nt
Filed under: Rattus norvegicus (Norway rat)
Lineage: Eukaryota; Metazoa; Chordata; Mammalia; Rodentia; Muridae
Source: RNAcentral
UAUUGAGAAAAGCACAAACGAGCAAGAGGGU